GGGGGUGAUUGGUCUCGACUCCGGACGUCGAGACAGGGGAAGCGGGCCGAGGAAGGCGACGAUGAUCUCGUUAACCACGAAAUGUCGCAAAAAAACUAAGCGCCGACAAUAGUCAGCGUGACUUCGCUCUUGCUGCCUAAGUAGCAAAGCGGGUCUGUCAGCCCGGGAGUGCCUCCGGCUCGGAAUCUGGCAUCGCUAGGAGGAUCACCGCCGGACCCGGCUGCGGGGACGGCGGAACAUCUCACAGCAGCUGGGCCCGUCGCACCGACCUGUGCGCAGGAUCGGUGGGGCCGAGUAGGACGACGCGCACUACGCCCGUAGAAGCCCUGUUGAGCCGCCGGAGGACGCGGG
RNAcentral lists this transfer-messenger RNA (351 nucleotides) under Geodermatophilaceae bacterium. RNAcentral's name for it is "partial transfer-messenger RNA". It matches the Rfam family "transfer-messenger RNA". Rfam says of the family: Bacterial tmRNA, also known as 10Sa RNA or SsrA, is named for its dual tRNA and mRNA-like properties. Its role is to liberate the mRNA from a stalled ribosome. The record is from RNAcentral. Lineage: Bacteria; Bacillati; Actinomycetota; Actinomycetes; Geodermatophilales; Geodermatophilaceae.